RNAcentral lists this unclassified non-coding RNA (548 nucleotides) under Fusarium solani. RNAcentral's name for it is "partial contains 18S rRNA, ITS1, 5.8S rRNA, ITS2 and 28S rRNA". The stretch from base 176 to 329 matches the Rfam family "5.8S ribosomal RNA". Lineage: Eukaryota; Fungi; Ascomycota; Sordariomycetes; Hypocreales; Nectriaceae. The record is from RNAcentral.
CUGCGGAGGGAUCAUUACCGAGUUUACAACUCCCAAACCCCUGUGAACAUACCUAUUGUUGCUUCGGCGCGUGCGCCCCGGUCGGUCUUCGGGCCCCCGGAUCCAGGUGCCCGCCGGAGGUCUCAAACUCUUGUAUUUAUGAAGUAUUUUCUGAGUAAACAAGCAAAUAAAUCAAAACUUUCAACAACGGAUCUCUUGGUUCUGGCAUCGAUGAAGAACGCAGCGAAAUGCGAUAAGUAAUGUGAAUUGCAGAAUUCCGUGAAUCAUCGAAUCUUUGAACGCACAUUGCGCCCGCCAGUAUUCUGGCGGGCAUGCCUGUUCGAGCGUCAUUUCAACCCUCAAGCCCCAGCGGCUUGGUGUUGGGGCUCGGCCCGUCCCUAGCGGCGGACCGUCCCCGAAAUCUAGUGGCGGUCUCGCUGUAGCCUCCUCUGCGUAGUAGCUAACACCUCGCAACGGGAACGCAGCUUGGCCACGCCGUUAAACCCCCCACUUCUGAAGGUUGACCUCGGAUCAGGUAGGAAUACCCGCUGAACUUAAGCAUAUCAAUA